RNAcentral lists this long non-coding RNA (1201 nucleotides) under Homo sapiens (human). RNAcentral's name for it is "HSALNT0201340". The record is from RNAcentral. Lineage: Eukaryota; Metazoa; Chordata; Mammalia; Primates; Hominidae.
AAGACAGCUGUGUCCUACCUGUAGAUCUUUCUUUUCAGAAGUACGUGUGUUUAUGGGCAGAGGAUGCUGUCAGGCAGGUCUGGAGCUGAGGAUCGCUGCGUGAAGCACAGCGUCAUCGAGAAUGCAAGACAGUCAUCAUCUGGAUGAAGGCUUCUGUUUCUGUGCCCAACCCCUGCCCUCCUGGAAAUGAAAUGCUUGGCACUCUUCCAUCCAUGCUGAAGAUCUCUGGUGGUGUCCACCAGCCUAGGUAACUUAUAACUCUGUAUAUCUUCACAAUGCUAGGUCCAUUCUGGGUAUCUUCACUUGGAUGUCCUAUGGGUCCUGCAAAUAUGUUUAAAAUUGACCUCCCUCUGCACCUCCCCAAACUCCUUCUUUAUAUGCGUUUCCCGGUUCAGUGAUUUCAUCAUCUUCCCAGCCUCCCAAGCUAGACACUGCAGGAUGACCACUGAUGUGUUCCUGUCCUUUUCAGUCUGUCACUAAGCCCCGCAGAUCCUCCCUCAGAAACAUCUCUCAGCCCCAGCCUCUCCUCUUUCUCCCUGCUACCUUAGCGCCUGCCCUGAUCAGCUCACCCUGGGUAAGUGGUCAAUGGCUCAUUUGUCACCUUGUCUCCCUCCUCUUCUUCCUCCCUUCUCUGCUGCUACAAUAAUAUUUAGAAAAAGCAAGUCUUAUCAUGUCUCUUCCCUACUGGAAACAUAUUCAGCACUUUACUAUUACUCACACAAUUGAUUUUGGUGCUAUGCUUGCCCUUCCCAGACUGUUUCCGUCCUACUGCUAACACCCUCUGCUGCAGCCACUCCAGUCUCCUCUUUCCAGGUGCUCCCAUGUCUUUGUUCCCUGUGCUACGCCUGCUCCUUGGAAUACCCGCUCACCUCUUCUUGACUUUAUGAAGUGCUACUGAGCCUUCAAGACUUACGGACAAUGUCUCCUUUUUGUCCCCUGUUAUUCAAAUACUAAUCUAGGUGUUGCUAUGAAGGAAUUUUGCAGAUAAAGUCCCUAAUCAACUGACUUUAAAGAGGAGAGACAAUCCAGUGGACCUCACUUAAUCAGAAGGCCUUAAAAGCAAGACUGAGGCCUCACCAGGAGAGAAGAAAUUCCUCCUGUGUACAACAGCUUGAGCCCAUGCCCAGAGUCCGUCCUGCUUGUGCCUGUCCCUUCCUGACUGCUGCUCUAUGGAUUUUGGACUUGCUUAGCCAGCCCUCAU